GGCGGGGGAGCACCACAACGGGUGGAGCGUGCGGUUUAAUUGGACUCAACGCCGGGCAGCUCACCGGAUAGGACAGCGGAAUGAUAGCCGGGCUGAAGACCUUGCUUGACCCAGCUGAGAGGAGGUGCAUGGCCGUCGUCAGUUCGUACUGUGAAGCAUCCUGUUUAGUCAGGCAACGAGCGAGACCCACGCCAACAGUUGCUAGCAUGUUCUCCGGAAUGAUGAGGACACUGUUGGGACCGCCUCUGCUAAAGAGGAGGAAGGAAUGGGCAACGGUAGGUCAGCAUGCCCCGAAUUAUCCGGGCUACACGCGGGCUACAAUGGUCAGGACAAUGGGAAACGGCACUGAAAAGUGUAGUCAAUCUCCUAAACCUGUCCCAAGUUCGGAUUGUGGGCUGCAACUCGCCCACAUGAAGCUGGAAUCCGUAGUAAUCGCGUUCAAAAUAGCGCGGGAAUAAGUCC
RNAcentral lists this ribosomal RNA (462 nucleotides) under uncultured bacterium. RNAcentral's name for it is "bacterial SSU rRNA". It matches the Rfam family "Archaeal small subunit ribosomal RNA", at positions 867 to 1329 of the family's 1478-position model. The record is from RNAcentral.